RNAcentral lists this ribosomal RNA (400 nucleotides) under uncultured bacterium. RNAcentral describes it as "bacterial SSU rRNA". It matches the Rfam family "Bacterial small subunit ribosomal RNA", at positions 356 to 772 of the family's 1533-position model. The record is from RNAcentral.
AGGGAAUUUUCCACAAUGGACGAAAGUCUGAUGGAGCAACGCCGCGUGCAGGAUGAAUGCCUUCGGGUUGUAAACUGCUUUUAUAUGUGACGAUUAUGACGGUAGCAUAUGAAUAAGGAUCGGCUAAUUCCGUGCCAGCAGCCGCGGUCAUACGGAAGAUCCAAGCGUUAUCCGGAAUUACUGGGCGUAAAGAGUUGCGUAGGUGGCAUAGUAAGUAGAUAGUGAAAUCCUGGGGCUCAACCCUUUAAACAUUAUCUAAACUGCUAAGCUAGAGGGCGAGAGAGGUUACUAGAAUUCCUUGUGUAGGAGUGAAAUCCGUAGAUAUAAGGAGGAAUACCGAUGGCGUAGGCAGGUAACUGGCUCGUCCCUGACACUAAGGCACGAAAGCGUGGGGAGCGAC